RNAcentral lists this ribosomal RNA (532 nucleotides) under Thiotrichales bacterium PSOR097. RNAcentral's name for it is "bacterial SSU rRNA". It matches the Rfam family "Bacterial small subunit ribosomal RNA", at positions 59 to 589 of the family's 1533-position model. Lineage: Bacteria; Pseudomonadati; Pseudomonadota; Gammaproteobacteria; Thiotrichales. The record is from RNAcentral.
CAGUCGACGGAGUAAUAAUUUGCUUGCAAAUUAUUGCUUAGUGGCGGACGGGUGAGUAACGCGUAGGAAUCUGCCGUACAGUGGGGGACAACAGUUGGAAACGACUGCUAAUACCGCAUGACACCUUCGGGUCAAAGGUUGCUUAUGCAGUCGCUGUACGAUGAGCCUGCGUUGGAUUAGCUAGUUGGUUGGGUAAAGGCUGACCAAGGCGAUGAUCCAUAGCUGUUCUGAGAGGAAGAUCAGCCACACUGGGACUGAGACACGGCCCAGACUCCUACGGGAGGCAGCAGUGGGGAAUAUUGGACAAUGGGGGCAACCCUGAUCCAGCAAUACCACGUGUGUGAAGAAGGCCUUAGGGUUGUAAAGCACUUUAUUUAGGGAGGAAGGUUAUCAGGUUAAGAGCUAGAUAAUUUGACGUUACCUAAAGAAUAAGCACCGGCUAACUCCGUGCCAGCAGCCGCGGUAAUACGGAGGGUGCGAGCGUUAAUCGGAAUUACUGGGCGUAAAGGGUUCGUAGGUGGUUAGAUAAGUC